Molecule: long non-coding RNA, 985 nt
Organism: Branchiostoma belcheri (Belcher's lancelet)
Lineage: Eukaryota; Metazoa; Chordata; Leptocardii; Amphioxiformes; Branchiostomatidae
Exons: 2
Source: RefSeq, a predicted model, not a curated record
UAUCCGGAUAUGAGUCAGCUUAACAGAAAAACAGCAUACUCAUCUAAAAUAAAUUACACGGAAACUAACGGAAACUUCCGAUACGCACAAUCCAAUCUUACAGAAAGCAAAUUUAUAGCUUUCCAACCGCUUGGUCAAUUCUUUAAAGAAACAUCAGUGAGAAAUAGGGACGAUGUAUUUUUGGAGUAUCCAGGAGUCUUCAAAAUGCGAUCGUGUCUAAAAACAGGCCACCUUCAAAAAAUAGAAGCUCUGUUUCAAUGUUUACCCUAGUAACCAUUGACGAUCGUGGUUUGAUGAUGUGUUUGUUAAGUAGGCGGUCUUUCCUUAAUGAGUUUGUAAUGAGUGGUUAAUGUCAGUUUUAUUAGCGCGGGUCGGUUGUUGAGAAUGAAAGGUUUCCGGUGAUGUCAGGUAGAUGUGAGACACCUUUUGCCGUUCACACGCGGCUGAUGGUAUAAAAGGGACCCUGAGAUUGAGUUGUCCAAAAACCAGACCAGCGGGCGCCAGCGAGACAACCAGACCGUCUACACUUCUCUACAAGUCUCUACUUCUGUGCACUCCGAAAAAAGACAUGGCGACAACCCGAAUCUUCACAGUCGGCCUUCUGGCGUGUAUUGCGUUUGUUGGGGCUCUUCGUUGCGCAAGCGCUGCCGCCAUACCAGAUGACGCAACUUCCGGUACGAAUGCUCUACUACAGCUGCGCCAAGCGCUGCACCUGAUUGGUCAACAGCUGGAUAGGAUGGCCACUGCGCAGGUCAACCAAGAAGUGCCGGCGGAGGGAUACGAAGAAGGCCACGAAGGGCGAACAGUCACCGAAGAUCCCUACGUCAUCUUCCGACCAGGAUGGGGAAAGUAAUCCCCCAACCGACGUGAACGACUAGCAUAGAGACAGGACUGACCAAUAACCAUCACGGCACUUAAAUUGAUUAAAAGAUUGCAAUAAAAAAAUGUAACACUUGACGAUUAAAGGACAUGCAGAAGUAACUCA